GUGUCUGUAGCCUAGUUGGUAAAGGAAGCACUCUGGUAUGUGAGUCAGCAAAACUGAGGUCAUGAGUUUGAAUCUCACCAGGCACA
Transfer RNA from Puccinia graminis f. sp. tritici, 86 nucleotides. It matches the Rfam family "tRNA". Rfam says of the family: Transfer RNA (tRNA) molecules are approximately 80 nucleotides in length. Their secondary structure includes four short double-helical elements and three loops (D, anti-codon, and T loops). The record is from Rfam. Lineage: Eukaryota; Fungi; Basidiomycota; Pucciniomycetes; Pucciniales; Pucciniaceae.